Molecule: ribosomal RNA, 402 nt
Filed under: Burkholderia pseudomallei
Lineage: Bacteria; Pseudomonadati; Pseudomonadota; Betaproteobacteria; Burkholderiales; Burkholderiaceae
Description: bacterial SSU rRNA
Rfam family: Bacterial small subunit ribosomal RNA
Source: RNAcentral
AUUGAACUGAAGAGUUUGAUCCUGGCUCAGAUUGAACGCUGGCGGCAUGCCUUACACAUGCAAGUCGAACGGCAGCACGGGCUUCGGCCUGGUGGCGAGUGGCGAACGGGUGAGUAAUACAUCGGAACAUGUCCUGUAGUGGGGGAUAGCCCGGCGAAAGCCGGAUUAAUACCGCAUACGAUCUGAGGAUGAAAGCGGGGGACCUUCGGGCCUCGCGCUAUAGGGUUGGCCGAUGGCUGAUUAGCUAGUUGGUGGGGUAAAGGCCUACCAAGGCGACGAUCAGUAGCUGGUCUGAGAGGACGACCAGCCACACUGGGACUGAGACACGGCCCAGACUCCUACGGGAGGCAGCAGUGGGGAAUUUUGGACAAUGGGCGCAAGCCUGAUCCAGCAAUGCCGCGU